RNAcentral lists this ribosomal RNA (851 nucleotides) under Hypocrella sp. ZJJ2010-13. RNAcentral's name for it is "eukaryotic LSU rRNA". It matches the Rfam family "Eukaryotic large subunit ribosomal RNA", at positions 88 to 949 of the family's 3401-position model. Lineage: Eukaryota; Fungi; Ascomycota; Sordariomycetes; Hypocreales; Clavicipitaceae. RNAcentral also lists the same sequence under 1 other name. The record is from RNAcentral.
GGCGAGUGAAGCGGCAACAGCUCAAAUUUGAAAUCUGGCCCCUCCCCCGGGGGGGCCCGAGUUGUAAUUUGCAGAGGAUGCUUCUGGCGAGGUGCCUUCCGAGUUCCCUGGAACGGGACGCCGCAGAGGGUGAGAGCCCCGUCUGGUCGGACAACCGAGCCUCUGUGAAGCUCCUUCGACGAGUCGAGUAGUUUGGGAAUGCUGCUCUAAAUGGGAGGUAUAUGUCUUCUAAAGCUAAAUACCGGCCAGAGACCGAUAGCGCACAAGUAGAGUGAUCGAAAGAUGAAAAGCACUUUGAAAAGAGGGUUAAACAGUACGUGAAAUUGUUGAAAGGGAAGCGCUCAUGACCAGACCUGGUCCCGGCGAAUCACCCGGCGUUCUCGCCGGUGCACUUCGACGGGCUUCCAGGCCAGCAUCAGUCCGCGCCGGGGGACAAAGGCGGCGGGAACGUGGCUCCCCAGGGAGUGUUAUAGCCCGCCGCGCAAUGCCCCGGGGGCGGACUGAGGCCCGCGCGUCACCGCAAGGAUGCUGGCGUAAUGGUCAUCAGCGACCCGUCUUGAAACACGGACCAAGGAGUCGUCCUCGUAUGCGAGUGUUGGGGCGUCAAACCCCCCGCGCGUAAUGAAAGUGAACGGCAGGUGAGAGCCCUCGCGGGCGCAUCAUCGACCGAUCCUGAUGUUCUCGGAUGGAUUUGAGUAGGAGCAUACGGGGCCGGACCCGAAAGAAGGUGAACUAUGCCUGUGUAGGGUGAAGCCAGAGGAAACUCUGGUGGAGGCUCGCAGCGGUUCUGACGUGCAAAUCGAUCGUCAAACAUGGGCAUGGGGGCGAAAGACUAAUCGAACCUUCUAGUA